This 92-nucleotide transfer RNA is filed under the name Candidatus Latescibacterota bacterium. Its description in RNAcentral is "tRNA-Pro". The record is from RNAcentral. Lineage: Bacteria; Pseudomonadati; Candidatus Latescibacterota. RNAcentral also lists the same sequence under 1 other name.
GGGCGUAGCGCAGCCCGGUUAGCGCACCUGCCUUGGGAGCAGGGGGCUUGUCCGUGCAACUGCAAACGCACGAAUGGCUUGUAAUCUGCCCA